RNAcentral lists this transfer RNA (73 nucleotides) under Neotoma lepida (desert woodrat). It matches the Rfam family "tRNA". Rfam says of the family: Transfer RNA (tRNA) molecules are approximately 80 nucleotides in length. Their secondary structure includes four short double-helical elements and three loops (D, anti-codon, and T loops). Lineage: Eukaryota; Metazoa; Chordata; Mammalia; Rodentia; Cricetidae. The record is from Rfam by way of RNAcentral.
GCCCAGUUAACUCAGUUGGUAGAGCAUGAGACUCUUAAUCUCAGGGUCAUGAGUUUGUGCCCCAUGUGGGGUG